Molecule: transfer RNA, 73 nt
Filed under: Candidatus Arsenophonus lipoptenae
Lineage: Bacteria; Pseudomonadati; Pseudomonadota; Gammaproteobacteria; Enterobacterales; Morganellaceae
Description: Arsenophonus symbiont of Lipoptena fortisetosa tRNA
Rfam family: tRNA
About the family: Transfer RNA (tRNA) molecules are approximately 80 nucleotides in length. Their secondary structure includes four short double-helical elements and three loops (D, anti-codon, and T loops).
Source: Rfam by way of RNAcentral
AGCGGGAUGGAGCAGAUGGUAGCUCGUCGGGCUCAUAACCCGAAGGUCGUCGGUUCAAAUCCGACUCCCGCAA